AUGGUCCUCGCCUGCCGUACCAGGCACGCGCGUGCGUGCGUCCACCGCCGCGGGCGGCGCAGCCACGCACCACCGAUCCUAUCCCCAGUCCCCCGUGUCGCGAGGCCCAGGAUCCGUACGUCUCGCUCGCGGUCGGUCGACAUGAGAGACAACGACGCCCCGCCACCGCGCGCCACGCAGCCAACGGAGGAGCGAGGCCACGGAGCCACGCGCCCUCGCCGCCGGGGCACACGUCGUCGGCCGAGGCCUACCUAUGCGCGCGCGGCGCGUCGAGCGGCGCGCGAGACCGAUCGGUCGAUCGUCACGCGUCUUUCCACGAGCUGGGACUCGAGUCCAGCGCUGCCGCCACGGGCCGGCGCGCGAUUUGUGCUCGGACGAUCGAUCACCGCGCCUGUACAGUGA
RNAcentral lists this ribosomal RNA (402 nucleotides) under Triticum aestivum (bread wheat). Its description in RNAcentral is "partial small subunit ribosomal RNA". The record is from RNAcentral. Lineage: Eukaryota; Viridiplantae; Streptophyta; Magnoliopsida; Poales; Poaceae.